CGCGUUCUCGCGAGCGCGAAACCUUGUCUGGCUACGCAGCAGGAGCUGGCUUUGGACCCGAGGUCGAACGAUUUUGUGUCUUGUGAAUCUCUAACAGGAUGGUUGGAGUUCUUUUAAUAGAGCUGCUACACAUGAGAUGGACGGACACCCUGGUUCUGUGAUUGGCUGUCCCACAUCAAGGCUGAUUCGAACUGAAACCAUUUGGAACCAGACGGGAUAAGAAGAAAACUGCUGCUGCUGAAUUCAGGCAUCUGGGGGGAUGAUGGACUGGCAGCUGCCUGGCUCAGAAGAGAAAACAGACUAGAACAGCUUAAAUCUACCAAGGGAGAUGAUGAGUCACCCAGUAAUCUCCAAAUGGAAGAGCUGUUACAUUUUGAGGAUACAUCCGUCAUGUCUCCAGCAGGUUCCCACUUCAUGAGGGAGCAGGAAACAAGAUCAAGGUGCCGCUACUCUGCUAGUUGCAACUUUGCAAAGUUGACAGAAUUUAUAUAAGAAGUAUCUUAAGCACUACAGUCGUACACACAGUAAGGGAUGUGUCUUCUGCAGCUUUACACUGCUGUAUAGAGACAAAAAGUUACAGUUCAUUUCCAUUAUCUCCAAUUUGAGUUUUAUCAUCACAAGACUCAGCUGAAAUCACAAACUUUGGCACCCUUUAAGAUAAUCCCUUCAUUUUGAUAAAUACACCACUCUGAAAGAGGCUAUUAAAACAGCACAUUAUCGUCACCUUUCACUGUCGUGGAGGAAAUAAAUUGCCAUAUCAGAACAUGAACUUUGAAAUGCUAAUGUUCUUGUUCAGGAGAGUGCUGUACUGUGACCUCAACAGAGACUCUUUCAAUCUAUAAAUUCAUUCUGCCUCAUUCCACUUUCUGCUCAUCUACUGCGCAGUGUUCCUUCUUUUUUUUUAAUGUAGACCAUUUAAUACUGUUAUUUAUUUACAGGUUAAAUUUGACUCGAUUUGAGUCCAGGUUCAA
Lates calcarifer (barramundi perch) is the source of this 971-nucleotide long non-coding RNA. RefSeq lists it as uncharacterized. The transcript is spliced from 6 exons. The record is from RefSeq and is a predicted model, not a curated record. Lineage: Eukaryota; Metazoa; Chordata; Actinopteri; Centropomidae.